CACGCUGUAAACGAUGAUCACUAGAUGUUGGCGAUAAACAGUCAGCGUCCAAGCGAAAGUAAUAAGUGAUCCACCUGGGGAGUACGUUCGCAAGAAUGAAACUCAAAGGAAUUGACGGGGGCCCGCACAAGCGGAGGAGCAUGUGGUUUAAUUCGAUGAUACGCGAGGAACCUUACCUGGGCUCGAACGUAAUGUGACGUAAUGUGAAAGCAUUAUUCUCUUCGGAGCAGAUUACGAGGUGC
Molecule: ribosomal RNA, 242 nt
Filed under: uncultured Bacteroidota bacterium
Lineage: Bacteria; Pseudomonadati; Bacteroidota
Description: uncultured Bacteroidetes bacterium partial 16S ribosomal RNA
Rfam family: Bacterial small subunit ribosomal RNA
Source: RNAcentral